RNAcentral lists this ribosomal RNA (265 nucleotides) under uncultured bacterium. RNAcentral's name for it is "partial 16S ribosomal RNA". It matches the Rfam family "Bacterial small subunit ribosomal RNA", at positions 88 to 354 of the family's 1533-position model. The record is from RNAcentral.
CCGGCGACCGGCGGACGGGUGCGUAACGCGUAUGUAACCUACCUUUGACAGGGGGAUAACAUCGAGAAAUUGGUACUAAUACCCCAUAACAUCACCAGAGGCAUCUUCGGUGGUUGAAAACUCAGGUGGUCAGAGAUGGACAUGCGUUGUAUUAGCUAGUUGGUGAGGUAACGGCUCACCAAGGCGACGAUACAUAGGGGGACUGAGAGGUCAACCCCCCACAUUGGUACUGAGACACGGACCAAACUCCUACGGAAGGCAGCAG